Molecule: ribosomal RNA, 661 nt
Filed under: Limosilactobacillus ingluviei
Lineage: Bacteria; Bacillati; Bacillota; Bacilli; Lactobacillales; Lactobacillaceae
Description: bacterial SSU rRNA
Rfam family: Bacterial small subunit ribosomal RNA
Source: RNAcentral
GCAGUCGAACGCGUUGGCCCAACUGAUUGAUUGUGCUUGCACAGGAUUGACGUUGGUUUCCCAACGAGUGGCGGACGGGUGAGUAACACGUAGGCAACCUGCCCCGAAGCGGGGGACAACAUUUGGAAACAAGUGCUAAUACCGCAUAACAACUUUGACCGCCUGGUCAAAGCUUAAAAGAUGGUUUCGGCUAUCACUUCGGGAUGGGCCUGCGGCGCAUUAGCUUGUUGGUGGGGUAACGGCCUACCAAGGCGAUGAUGCGUAGCCGAGUUGAGAGACUGAUCGGCCACAAUGGGACUGAGACACGGCCCAUACUCCUACGGGAGGCAGCAGUAGGGAAUCUUCCACAAUGGGCGCAAGCCUGAUGGAGCAACACCGCGUGAGUGAAGAAGGGUUUCGGCUCGUAAAGCUCUGUUGUUGAAGAAGAAUGUGCAAGAGAGUAACUGUUCUUGUAUUGACGGUAUUCAACCAGAAAGUCACGGCUAACUACGUGCCAGCAGCCGCGGUAAUACGUAGGUGGCAAGCGUUAUCCGGAUUUAUUGGGCGUAAAGCGAGCGCAGGCGGUUUUCUAAGUCUGAUGUGAAAGCCUUCGGCUUAACCGAAGAAGUGCAUCGGAAACUGGAUGACUUGAGUGCAGAAGAGGGCAGUGGAACUCCAUGUG